Long non-coding RNA from Sphaeramia orbicularis (orbiculate cardinalfish), 76 nucleotides. RefSeq lists it as uncharacterized. Lineage: Eukaryota; Metazoa; Chordata; Actinopteri; Kurtiformes; Apogonidae. The record is from RefSeq and is a predicted model, not a curated record. The transcript is spliced from 3 exons.
UUUGGGCUCUCUGGCCUCUCUUUACUGUCCGCACUUGCAGUUUGUUUCAUUAAAAGCUUGUUGGGAAGCAUGUACA